This 444-nucleotide ribosomal RNA is filed under the name uncultured prokaryote. RNAcentral describes it as "bacterial SSU rRNA". It matches the Rfam family "Bacterial small subunit ribosomal RNA", at positions 355 to 796 of the family's 1533-position model. The record is from RNAcentral.
UGGGGAAUAUUGGUCAAUGGGGGCUACCCUGAACCAGCCAUGCCGCGUGCAGGAAGAAGGCUUUCUGAGUUGUAAACUGCUUUUCUUAAGGAACAAAAAGAUCAUGCGUGGUCAAUUGAGUGUACUUAAGGAAUAAGCACCGGCUAACUCCGUGCCAGCAGCCGCGGUAAUACGGAGGGUGCGAGCGUUGUCCGGAUUUAUUGGGUUUAAAGGGUGCGUAGGCGGUCGAUUAAGUCAGUGGUGAAAGCCUAGACACUUAAUGUCAGAAGUGCCAUUGAUACUGAAGAGCUUGAGUCAAGGAGAGGUAAGCAGAAUUUGUGGUGUAGCAGUGAAAUGCUUAGAUACCAUGAGGAAUACCAACAGCGAAGGCAGCUUACUGGCCUUGUUCUGACGCUGAGGCACGAAAGCGUGGGGAGCAAACAGGAUUAGAUACCCCUGUAGUCC